UGCGGUAAAAAUGUAUUCCUACCCAGUUUAAUUACAAUAAAUUUUGCAAGUUAUGCAGGGCUAAUGUAUCGUUAGAUACCGUUGCUAAUUUAACCAUCAGCUACCUUAGAUGAUUAAACAUGCACUGAUUAAGUAUUGUGUCAAUUAAUUACAAUUUCAAUCUAUUUAAAUCAUUAAUUCAUUAGUUACCUUACAAUUGUAAUGCAAGAAUAACUUAGUCACGAUUUUACUUAAUCAAACAUCUUACCAUGGCCUAUAACAACACAAACACAAUUUAAUAAAUUAAGUGGCCAAAAUGCAAUCAACCUAACACGAUUAUUCAUAGAUAUGUUCAUAACAAAAAUAAUAAAAUUAAAAGGAUAAGGAACGAGAAUCAAAUUCGGUGUUUCUCUGAGGCUUGACUAGUUUGCUUUACUCUUCCUUCUCUGCUUGUUCUUGUUGAAAUGAGACUUCCAUGAACACUUGAAUGCUACUCCAAAUGAUGGAUGAAGGACUAUUUUUUAGAGGUGAAAUCGACAAGGGAAUGGGAAGAAA
RNAcentral lists this long non-coding RNA (534 nucleotides) under Gossypium barbadense (sea-island cotton). RNAcentral's name for it is "long non-coding RNA (GBAR_LNC012768)". Lineage: Eukaryota; Viridiplantae; Streptophyta; Magnoliopsida; Malvales; Malvaceae. The record is from RNAcentral.